This 581-nucleotide small RNA is filed under the name Pongo abelii (Sumatran orangutan). Its description in RNAcentral is "processed transcript". Lineage: Eukaryota; Metazoa; Chordata; Mammalia; Primates; Hominidae. The record is from RNAcentral.
GUUGCUAAGACGUGGGUCGCCGGAGGUGGUUGGAGUUAGUUUUGGCAGCCCGGGCCUGAGAGAGGUCAAGGGUCAUUGCAGAGCCAGGGAGGAGAUGGUGAAGCAGACUAUCCAGAUAUUCGCGAGGGUGAAGCCCCCUGUCCGGAAGCACCAACAAGGGAUUUAUUCCAUAGAUGAAGAUGAAAAAUUAAUACCUAGCUUGGAAAUUAUCUUACCACGUGAUUUGGCAGAUGGGUUUGUGAAUAAUAAGCGAGAAAGCUACAAAUUUAAAGACUAGGUUUUACCAUGUUGCCCAGGCUGGUCUUGAACUCCUGGGCUCAAGCGAUCUGACCCUCCUUGGCCUCCCAAAGUGCUGGGAUUACAGGUGUGAGCCACCGCUCCUGGCUCCUGCUUUGCUUUUUCUGAAGAGAACAUUCUCCCACUGAUAUUUCAAAGAAUUUUUGAUCAGGAUGCAAACCAAGAGACCAUUUUUGAAAACAUUGCCAAACCAGUUGCUGGGAGUGUCCUGGCAGGUUACAAUGGUACCAUCUUUGCAUAUGGGCAAACAGGCAGCGGGAAGACAUUCACUAUCACAGGGGGUG